AGUGUGACUUUUGUGCCCCUUCCCCUACUGAGUGCAUCCCUGACUGGACACUAUUGAACUUACAGCAGGGAUAGGGCUACCUGUGCCUUGAGUGCUGUGUCUGGCACGGGGACACUGACCAAUAAGCAACAGGCGUAUUGAUCCCAGAAAGAGAGAGACAGCUUGUGCAGUGGCAGUUGCAGCCGUCUUUAGAGACAGUUGGCAGUUGGGCAGCAGCCAUCUUAGAGGGACUCAGAGCUGCAACUUGGAGCAGAGGCAGCUGCUGGUGUGUGACAGGAUUGCUGUACAGUUUAUGUUAUGCCAGUUUCGAAUCCCAUGACCAGAGAUCAUCAUCAACAGCCAAUCAGUAAUACCAGCUUCCUGUGGGGAUCUCACUUCUUCCGAUGGUGCUGGCUGGCAGGCAUCUGACAGAGCAGAACAGUGAUGGGUUCUACUGACUGUGUAGUUGGAAACUAGGCCACGCAGCCUACCCUCCCUUUUGAAGUACAGCCCUGGAGGUAGCCCUGCUUUGGAGUAACAGAUGGUGGGAGGAGCAGAGACAGUGUCUUACUGCAGACAGAGGUCAGCUUAUGAUGGUUAAUUAAGGCCAACCUAACCCUUGUAACACAGGUGUGCCAUCAGCUUUGAAGUGGAUGAACACUGGACAGGUGCAUCGUCAGCACUGGAGUAGAUGGACAUUGGACAGGUGCAUCAUCAGCACUGUUGCGGAUGGACACUGGACAGGUAUGUCGGCAGCACUGGAGCAGAUAGACACUGGAUAGCUGCAUCAGCAGCACAGGUACAUAUGGACACUGGACAGCCACUUCUGGAUGUACAUAGCACAGCCACUUAAUGGACACAGCACAGCCACUUAAUGGACACAGCACAGCCACUUGUAUGGAGUCUGGAUACAGCAUAAUGACUUAUAUGGAUAAAGACCCAGCCACUAGUAUUAAGACCAGAGUACAGCGCAGCAUACAGCAACAUGCCUUGUACACAGAACAGCCUCUUGUAUUAGUCUGGAGUCUGGACACAGCAGCUUGAUAAGCAGAGCACAGUGCAGCAUACAGCAGUGUGCUGAGACAGUGAAAUCAUACCAAAUGACUGCUGCAGGUUCCUUAAAUAGAAUCCAAAACCUGUGAAAAUCUAAUGCCAGCAGUAUGAUGUUUUGCCUCAAUCUGGACUCUAAGUCUGGCGGGAUCACCUGAGCCACGACGAGUUUGGAUUCCAGUUAUCCACUACUUGCCAUAUGAUUAAUUACCAUCUUUAGUCCAGAAGUCCUUGUGGCCUAAUAAAAGAACUUCCUUUGGAGAUUGCUGUCAUUGAAUCACUCUUGCAUAUCAAUCUAUCCUACCUCCUUGAAACCGAUACAAUGAACAAGGUAUGAGGGGAACAUCUUAGGGAAAGGGUCUAUCACCUACUGUAGCCACUGGUCCCUCCUCCAACCACUUUGACACCUGCCAACCCCGGGGUGUUACAUAAGCUGUCCUACUUAGUAAAUGUGUAUACAUACAGUAAUUAAAAAAUAAAUGGAAUGUCAUAA
This is a long non-coding RNA of Pseudophryne corroboree (corroboree frog), 1522 nucleotides long. RefSeq lists it as uncharacterized. The transcript has 3 exons. The record is from RefSeq and is a predicted model, not a curated record. NCBI's taxonomy places the organism in Eukaryota, Metazoa, Chordata, Amphibia, Anura, Myobatrachidae.